GAUGAACGCUGGCGGCGUGUCUAAUACAUGCAAGUCGAGCGAACGGACGAGAAGCUUGCUUCUCUGAUGUUAGCGGCGGACGGGUGAGUAACACGUGGAUAACCUACCUAUAAGACUGGGAUAACUUCGGGAAACCGGAGCUAAUACCGGACGAUAUUUUGAACCGCAUGGUUAAAAAGUGAAAGACGGUCUUGCUGUCCCUUAUAGAUGGAUCCGCGCUGCAUUAGCUAGUUGGUAAGGUAACGGCUUGCCAAGGCAACGAUGCAUAGCCGACCUGAGAGGGGGAUCGGGCACACUGGGACUGGGACACGGUCCAGACUCCUACGGGAGGCAGCAGUAGGGAAUCUUCCGCAAUGGGCGAAAGCCUGACGGAGCAACGCCGCGUGAGUGAUGAAGGUCUUCGGAUCGUAAAACUCUGUUAUUAGGGAAGAACAUAUGUGUAAGUAACUGCGCACAUCUUGACGGUACCUAAUCAGAAAGCCACGGCUACCUACGUG
This 497-nucleotide ribosomal RNA is filed under the name uncultured bacterium. RNAcentral describes it as "partial 16S ribosomal RNA". It matches the Rfam family "Bacterial small subunit ribosomal RNA", at positions 28 to 507 of the family's 1533-position model. The record is from RNAcentral.